UACGGAGGGUGCGAGCGUUACCCGGAUUUACUGGGCGUAAAGGGCGUGUAGGCGGUUUUCUAAGUCCGGGGCUAAAGACCAGGGCUCAACCCUGGGUUUGCCUUGGAUACUGGAAAGCUCGACGGCUGGAGGGGGCAGCGGAAUUUCCGGAGUAGCGGUGAAAUGCGCAGAUACCGGAAGGAACGCCAAUAGCGAAGGCAGCUGCCUGGACAGUACGUGACGCUGAGGAGCGAAAGCGUGGGGAGCGAACAGG
RNAcentral lists this ribosomal RNA (253 nucleotides) under uncultured bacterium. RNAcentral describes it as "partial 16S ribosomal RNA". It matches the Rfam family "Bacterial small subunit ribosomal RNA", at positions 524 to 776 of the family's 1533-position model. The record is from RNAcentral.